ACUAACCUAAGAUGAUUACAUUCUUUGCUAGGUCCUCCUUGCAGACAUGCACAACUAAUUUUGUAGCAUCCAAUUACAUGAUAGGUUGGAUCAACUACAUAGCAUAUAGUUAGAAUAAGUGCUAACCGAAAAUAGAGCAAUCUGAGUGGCUGGCUGGUAGAGAUAACUGCAGCUGUGAAUAUGUGUUCUCUAUGCUCCAGAAACUAUUUACAAGGAGUUC
This 220-nucleotide long non-coding RNA is filed under the name Capsicum annuum. Its description in RNAcentral is "long non-coding RNA (CANN_LNC006373)". Lineage: Eukaryota; Viridiplantae; Streptophyta; Magnoliopsida; Solanales; Solanaceae. The record is from RNAcentral.